UAGGGAAUCUUCGGCAAUGGGGGGAACCCUGACCGAGCAACGCCGCGUGAGUGAAGAAGGUUUUCGGAUCGUAAAGCUCUGUUGUUAAGGAAGAACGAGUGUGAGAAUGGAAAGUUCAUACUGUGACGGUAAUUAACCAGAAAGGGACGGCUAACUACGUGCCAGCAGCCGCGGUAAUACGUAGGUCCCGAGCGUUGUCCGGAUUUAUUGGGCGUAAAGCGAGCGCAGGCGGUUAGAUAAGUCUGAAGUUAAAGGCAGUGGCUCAACCAUUGUAGGCUUUGGAAACUGUUUAACUUGAGUGCAGAAGGGGAGGGUGGAAUUCCAUGUGUAGCGGUGAAAUGCGUAGAUAUAUGGAGGAACACCGGUGGCGAAAGCGGCUCUCUGGUCUGUAACUGACGCUGAGGCUCGAAAGCGUGGGGAGCGAACAGG
This 429-nucleotide ribosomal RNA is filed under the name Bacteroidota bacterium. RNAcentral's name for it is "Bacteroidetes bacterium partial 16S ribosomal RNA". It matches the Rfam family "Bacterial small subunit ribosomal RNA", at positions 355 to 776 of the family's 1533-position model. Lineage: Bacteria; Pseudomonadati; Bacteroidota. The record is from RNAcentral.